GUGCUUGCCUUAGGUGGUAGAGUGCUUGCCUAGGUGCGUGAGGCACUGGGUUCGAUCCCCAGCACCACA
This 69-nucleotide transfer RNA is filed under the name Marmota monax (woodchuck). RNAcentral's name for it is "tRNA.Undet". The record is from RNAcentral. Lineage: Eukaryota; Metazoa; Chordata; Mammalia; Rodentia; Sciuridae.